AGUGAACGCUGGCGGUAGGCCUAACACAUGCAAGUCGAACGGCAGCACAGUAAGAGCUUGCUCUUACGGGUGGCGAGUGGCGGACGGGUGAGGAAUACAUCGGAAUCUACUUUUUCGUGGGGGAUAACGUAGGGAAACUUACGCUAAUACCGCAUACGACCUACGGGUGAAAGCAGGGGAUCUUCGGACCUUGCGCGAUUGAAUGAGCCGAUGUCGGAUUAGCUAGUUGGCGGGGUAAAGGCCCACCAAGGCGACGAUCCGUAGCUGGUCUGAGAGGAUGAUCAGCAACACUGGAAGUGAGACACGGUCCAGACUCCUAAGGGAGGCAGCCGGGGGGAAUAUUGGACAAUGGGCGCAAGCCUGAUCCAGCCAUACCGCGUGGGUGAAGAAGGCCUUCGGGUUGUAAAGCCCUUUUGUUGGGAAAGAAAAGCAGCAGGUUAAUACCCCGCUGUUCUGACGGUACCCAAAGAAUAAGCACCGGCUAACUUCGUG
This 492-nucleotide ribosomal RNA is filed under the name uncultured bacterium. RNAcentral's name for it is "partial 16S ribosomal RNA". It matches the Rfam family "Bacterial small subunit ribosomal RNA", at positions 29 to 507 of the family's 1533-position model. The record is from RNAcentral.